GCGGGACUACCCGCUGAA
RNAcentral lists this ribosomal RNA (18 nucleotides) under Liabum barahonense. RNAcentral describes it as "partial 26S ribosomal RNA". The record is from RNAcentral. Lineage: Eukaryota; Viridiplantae; Streptophyta; Magnoliopsida; Asterales; Asteraceae.